AAGUACCGUACAGUACUUGGUGAUGGCAAAGCACAGCAUAUGGGAGCUCUUUUUCAGAAUAAUACAAAAAAAAAAUUAAUUAUAUAAAUAAUUCAAAAUUUAACUUUUUUUAUCAAAAUAAUGCAAAAGAAAAAAAUUUUAUUUUGAAUGACGUUUUCUCCCUGCCACGUCACCCCUUUUUUCCACGAUGGCAUCAUCUCAAAAAAAAAAUAAAAAAUAAAAUGCCAUUCAAAAUGGUGUUUUUUAUUUUUCCCACCAAAAAUAAAAGGGAAAAAAUUGAAAAAG
This 285-nucleotide long non-coding RNA is filed under the name Elaeis guineensis (African oil palm). RNAcentral describes it as "long non-coding RNA (EGUI_LNC014940)". Lineage: Eukaryota; Viridiplantae; Streptophyta; Magnoliopsida; Arecales; Arecaceae. The record is from RNAcentral.